This 460-nucleotide ribosomal RNA is filed under the name uncultured bacterium. RNAcentral describes it as "partial 16S ribosomal RNA". It matches the Rfam family "Bacterial small subunit ribosomal RNA", at positions 338 to 795 of the family's 1533-position model. The record is from RNAcentral.
CCUACGGGAGGCAGCAGUGAGGAAUAUUGGUCAAUGGACGAGAGGCUGAACCAGCCAAGUAGCGUGAAGGAUGACUGCGCUAUGGGUUGUAAACUUCUUUUAUAUGGGAAUAAAACGUUCCACGUGUGGGUGUUUGUAUGUACCAUAUGAAUAAGGAUCGGCUAACUCCGUGCCAGCAGCCGCGGUAAUACGGAGGAUCCGAGCGUUAUCCGGAUUUAUUGGGUUUAAAGGGCGCGUAGGUGGAUUGUUAAGUCAGUUGUGAAAGUUUGCGGCUCAACCGUAAAAUUGCAGUUGAAACUGGCAGUCUUGAGUACACUAGAGGUGGGCGGAAUUCGUGGUGUAGCGGUGAAAUGCUUAGAUAUCACGAAGAACUCCGAUUGCGAAGGCAGUUCACUGGACUGCAACUGACACUGAGGCUCGAAAGUGUGGGUAUCAAACAGGAUUAGAUACCCUUGUAGUC